RNAcentral lists this non-coding RNA (93 nucleotides) under chicken gut metagenome. Its description in RNAcentral is "TPP riboswitch (THI element)". It matches the Rfam family "TPP riboswitch aptamer (THI element)", at positions 11 to 88 of the family's 105-position model. Rfam says of the family: Vitamin B(1) in its active form thiamin pyrophosphate (TPP) is an essential coenzyme that is synthesised by coupling of pyrimidine and thiazole moieties in bacteria. The record is from RNAcentral.
UUGUGGGGAGCUUGCCCAAGCAGGCUGAGAGGAGACGAAAAGGAGUCUCGACCCGAAAAACCUGAUUUGGGUAAUGCCAACGUAGGGAAGGAU